GCGCAGAGAAGAAUCUCCCACUCCGCAGCAUAAAUUAAAUCAUUUCCGGCAUCUCCAGGCAUCGUUCUUUCCGUCCCUAACAGCGGCACGGAGAUCUUUGCUGCUUCUGUAACAUCUUACAACAACAACAAUUUAACAUCUUUCUUUUGGGACAGUAAAGCAUUACAACCCAAUUCAAUAUGACUUACAGUGGUGGAUCAUCUGGUGGAUACCGCAAUGGCGGAUCAGGAAAAGGAGGAGCUGGCCAACGUGGAAGUGCACCAUCGCGCAACGGCUUUGGAGGCGGUGGGGGUGCUGGAGGUAAUAGAUUUGGUGGUAACCGCGGAGGUAGCAACGGAGCAUCCGGUGGACGCUUCGGUGGCAACAAUCGCGCUAACAACAAUAAUCCUAAGACAGCUGGCAAUAGUUUAAAGAAACCCAACUGGGAUUAUGAAAAUUUGAAGCCUUUCAAAAAAGAUUUUUACAUUCCACAUUUAAAUGUCUCCAAGCGUAACUACAAUGAAAUUGAUUCCUUCAGACAAGAGAAAGAAAUUACUCUUAAAGGAGAGAAGAUUCCACACCCAAUUCAAACUUUUGACGAGGGUAACUUCCCAGAUUACGUGAUGGAGGGAAUAAAGAAACAAGGCUUCACUGAGCCAACCGCAAUUCAAUCUCAAGGUUGGCCAAUCGCGAUGUCCGGUCGUAACAUGGUCGGUAUUGCACAAACAGGAUCUGGAAAAACUUUAGGCUACAUUUUACCUGCUAUUGUACACAUAAACAACCAACAACCUCUGAACCGUGGUGAUGGUCCAAUCGCCCUAGUACUUGCUCCCACGAGAGAACUGGCCCAGCAAAUCCAGACUGUAGCCAACGACUUUGGUUCUCUAUCUUACGUCAGAAACACAUGUAUUUUCGGUGGAGCACCCAAAGGCGCACAAGCGCGUGACUUGGAACGCGGUGUCGAGAUCGUCAUUGCAACACCUGGAAGACUUAUUGAUUUCCUCGAACGCGGCACAACCAAUCUGCGCAGGUGCACCUACUUGGUACUCGAUGAAGCUGAUCGUAUGUUGGACAUGGGUUUCGAACCCCAAAUAAGAAAAAUAAUUGAACAGAUCCGCCCAGACAGACAAGUACUUAUGUGGUCCGCCACUUGGCCAAAGGAAGUUAGAAUGCUAGCUGAAGAAUAUCUCGUAGAUUACACCCAAUUGAACAUUGGAUCUCUUUCAUUGUCAGCGAACCAUAACAUCUUGCAAAUCGUUGAUGUAUGUCAAGAGCACGAGAAAGAGGCAAAAUUGGGAACAUUACUCCAAGAAAUUGGUAACGUUAAUGACGAUGGCGGAAAAACUAUAAUAUUUGUGGAGACUAAGAAAAAAGUUGAAAAUAUCACAAGAAAUAUCAGACGAUACGGCUGGCCCGCUGUAUGUAUGCAUGGAGACAAAUCUCAACAAGAACGUGAUUAUGUUCUUAGAGAGUUCAGAAACAAAAAGGGCUCGAUUCUUGUAGCAACAGACGUUGCUGCCCGUGGACUUGAGGCACAUAAUGCACAGAUUCUGUUGAGUGUGCGAUGAACGAAAAAUCUAAACUAAAUAUUUAUUUGAAUAAAUAAAAGAAAAAUAUAUGAUAAAAGUCAUUAUCAGAACCAUGGCUCACUCAAUGUCUGUGCUCUUUUUAUUAAGAACUAUAUACUAAAGUGAUAUAUAGAGAAUAUGUACAUGCGCAUAACGCGUUCGUUUUAUAAAACAUGUACUUAUUAAUGUGCCUCUGUGUACGGCCUGUGUACCACGCAACUAUAUAGUGGUGCGCGGGUAUUGUCGCGCUGGUUGGCUGAAAGGGAUAUUUAAAUGGCUAUUGGUUAGCACGCACACGCCGUUAAUAGAUCAAUAUUAUCAGCCGGUGCGAGACAACAAUCUAUUGAUUUUGCUACUAUCGCUAUUUGUGAGAAUAUAUAGGAGUGUCAAUCUGAACUUGCAUUUAACUGUUGUACAACGCCGAGGAAGUAUACUUUAGCGCUUACAUCGAAUGCAAUGUUCAGCAAUGAUAUGAUGUCGAUGAUGUUAAGUAUGUGAUCAACUUCGACUAUCCAUCUUCGUCGGAAGAUUACAUUCACAGAAUCGGUAGAACAGGACGAUCACA
Molecule: RNA transcript, 2112 nt
Organism: Microplitis demolitor
Lineage: Eukaryota; Metazoa; Arthropoda; Insecta; Hymenoptera; Braconidae
Gene name: ATP-dependent RNA helicase p62
Exons: 7
Source: RefSeq, a predicted model, not a curated record